This 440-nucleotide ribosomal RNA is filed under the name uncultured bacterium. RNAcentral's name for it is "partial 16S ribosomal RNA". It matches the Rfam family "Bacterial small subunit ribosomal RNA", at positions 338 to 795 of the family's 1533-position model. The record is from RNAcentral.
CCUACGGGUGGCAGCAGUGGGGAAUAUUGGACAAUGGGGGAAACCCUGAUCCAGCGACGCCGCGUGAGUGAAGAAGUAUUUAGGUACGGAAAGCCCUAUCAGCAGGAAAGAAAAUGACGGUACCUGACUAAGAAGCCCCGGCUAACUACGUGCCAGCAGCCGCGGUAAUACGUAGGGGGCAAGCGGUAUCCGGAGUUACUGGGUGUAUAGGGAGCUUAGACGGCAGCGCAAGUCUGGAGUGAAAUGUCGGGGCCCAACCCCGGAACUGCUCUGGAAACGGUGAAGCUGGAGUGCAGGAGAGGUAAGCGGAAUUCCUGGUGUAGCGGUGAAAUGCGUAGAUAUCAGGAGGAACCCCGACGGCGAAGGCGGCUUACUGGACUGUAACUGACGUUGAGGCUCGAAAGCGUGGGGAGCAAACAGGAUUAGAUACCCCAGUAGUC